UUCUUGUCUCACUGCACAGGAAUGUUUAGUAAAUACCUACUCAGUACAACGUACUUUGCCAUAUUCUCCACAACUAUCAACAAAAGAACAAGUAGCCAGUCAUCAGAGCACAGGAAGAAACACUAAAAGAUGAGGAACCACUGGUGAUUACAGCACUAACGCUGAUCACAUUGCUAUAGUUAAGAUUAUGUCACCACUUUAAAUGGGAAAAUAUUUUCACGAGGCUUUAACUUGCCUAGAAAAAUUACUCAGAAUCACAGGUUGGUGUUGUAGUCCUCAGACCCUAAAGACCAUCUUGGAGCUGACUACUGGCUCAAACAUGGGCUGAUAUUUAAACAGGAUCUUACCUUCCUUAUGCAGUUUUUCACAGGGAAAAAAAAAAGGGGGGGUUAACAGUGUCAUACAGAAGAAUGGUUUCAAAACCAGAAUGCAAUGGAUCUUAAAAAAAAAUCAGAUUCAGGAACAAGCUAUAUGCAAGUUAAAUCAGCAUUAAGCAGAUGCCCCAAGUUCUGCUAUUUUCCACAGAAAAUCAUGUGGAGUAGAGUCGAGAAAGCCUUUAAAUGAAUAAAUUAUAGAGGGUUUUGCAUUUUGAAGUGUAUUGCUUAGUGUAAGAGGGUAAAAUAAGCAAUUUGGCUUACCAAAUAAGGAUUAAACUAUCAAUCCAAAUAGUAUUUUCCCUGUAAAGCAAUUUAUUGCUGAUGAGCACUGAAAAAUUACUGCACAGAAAAUCACUUAAUAAAGCUUAAACAUUAUCUGAUUAUCAUUUGAUUGUUUAAGAAAAGUCAAACACGGUGCAAGAUUUUUUUGUAGUUGGAUUUUUUUUCCUAAAAACAUUUGAUGCAUUGGAUGUGAAACGUUUGCAACUCUGGUAGAUCAAUUAUGGCUAUUAUCCUUAAAUCAGAACCUAACCCAUUAUUAGUGCACAAAUAAAAUACAGAAGUUUGUCCAUGAAUCAAUGCUCAAUCUUUAAAAACUAACGUAAAUAACAGCGGAAGGAGAUUUCUCUCUAGUGACUUAGUUUACUAGAGAUGCUUUAAACGAUUCUUAGGUUCAUUAAUUGUGUUUGCAAUCCAUAAGGAAAGAUACAAGACACAAACCCAAAAUGUAUAGC
This is a long non-coding RNA of Pezoporus flaviventris, 1111 nucleotides long. RefSeq lists it as uncharacterized. The transcript is spliced from 3 exons. Lineage: Eukaryota; Metazoa; Chordata; Aves; Psittaciformes; Psittacidae. The record is from RefSeq and is a predicted model, not a curated record.